CACGUAGGGUGCGAGCGUUGUCCGGAAUUAUUGGGCGUAAAGAGCUCGUAGGCGGUGUGUCGCGUCGGCCGUGAAAACCUGCAGCUUAACUGUGGGCUUGCGGUCGAUACGGGCAUCACUGGAGUUCGGCAGGGGAGACUGGAAUUUCUGGUGUAGCGGUGAAAUGCGCAGAUAUCAGGAGGAACACCGGUGGCGAAGGCGGGUCUCUGGGCCGAUACUGACGCUGAGGAGCGAAAGCGUGGGGAGCGAACAGG
This 254-nucleotide ribosomal RNA is filed under the name uncultured bacterium. RNAcentral's name for it is "partial 16S ribosomal RNA". It matches the Rfam family "Bacterial small subunit ribosomal RNA", at positions 524 to 776 of the family's 1533-position model. The record is from RNAcentral.